RNAcentral lists this ribosomal RNA (253 nucleotides) under uncultured bacterium. RNAcentral describes it as "partial 16S ribosomal RNA". It matches the Rfam family "Bacterial small subunit ribosomal RNA", at positions 524 to 776 of the family's 1533-position model. The record is from RNAcentral.
UACGUAGGUGGCAAGCGUUGUCCGGAUUUAUUGGGUUUAAAGGGUGCGUAGGCGGUCUAUUAAGUCAGUUGUGAAAUACGGCAGCUCAACUGUCGAGGUGCAAUUGAUACUGAUGGACUUGAGUACUGAUGAGGUAAGCGGAAUGGACGGUGUAGCGGUGAAAUGCUUAGAUAUCGUCCAGAACGCCGAUAGCGAAGGCAGCUUCCUGGACAAUUGCUGACGCUCAGGCACGAAAGCGUGGGGAGCAAAAGGG